CUACCGCACCCGGCCCUUAAGAAGUCUUAAAGUCAUCUAUGAUAGGUGAGCGCUCAGGUUCCUCUCCUUAAAGUCAUCUAUGAUAAGUGAGCGCUCAGAUUCUUCCUUUGUGGGGUGCAAGUUCAUGACAGAUUCCUCAAGGUUAAUAGCUUAGUAGUAUAAUUUUAUUGCAGUCACUGUACUGUCCAUGCAUAGUAAUGUUGUAAGGCACAUCUUUAUUUAAUAAUUCUGAAAAUAUUUCGAGCACCUAACUUCAGCUAUUGAGAAUAGAUAUAAAAUUAUGCUCUAUAAUUUUAGGGAAAGAAAUUAUUUUCUUGCUACAUCAAUAAAUCUUUCUUUUACAUACAUCCUUUCCAUAUAAUAAAUAUCCAUUUCUCUUUCAUAUAUCCAUGAUUAAAUGUCUUACAUGAAUAAAAUAUUUCUUUUGAAAAUAUACAGAAUGGUUUGUCAAAACAUGCGAAAUGCACUGUAUGGUUCCAAAAUCUGUUUUUCAUGUUUUUCUUUGGGGUGUGAUCUGUUCCUGUUAGUUUAGUGUUUGUGCCUUAAUUGUAGUAUAUCCUUAAGGAAAUUGAGUAUUGGUAGACUAUUUAUUGCAGUUGAAGAUAUAGCAAAAGAAAUAAUUAAGUUUCCAGGAGGGAAAUACCUAUAAGUGAAUGAUAAUACAGUCAGUGUAAAACAGCCUUUCACUAAAGAAUGUAUAUACUAUUAUUUACUCAAAAACUAUUCAGCAACUAUUUUACCCACAGGUGAAAUGCACUGGAGUGUCCAGUUUUGUGUCACGUGUCCUUUCUGCCAUUCUCAGGCUAAUGGCACUCUUCAUGACAAGCCUGAUUGUACUGUUAAGCUCCAGAGGAAAAAAUGUGGCUACAGAGUAUAUUAAAAUACAUACAAUUGAAAAGGAAAAUGUUCAUUUUUGCAAGCAGAAGAUUACCAACAGAAUGCUAAAAUUGAAGUUGUAUACCGAUUCCAAAUACGUGAGGCUUGAGGCUUACUACUUUCUUGAAGAAGAGGCAGAAAAAAGGUAACAAUAUGGGAGAGGGAAAAGAGCAAUAAUUAAUAUACUAAAGUUUACUCAACCAUACAUAUAUUAGACAUGUUAUUUUAUUUGAUGAGUAUUAGCUUUGUAUCCCUUUAUUAGUUUUGUAUCCCUUUCCCCAAAAUACAUAUAUACACGCAUGGAUGGACACGCAUGCCAAUACUAGAUGUGAAGUCCUGAUGUAGGUAGAUUCUAGCGCCAAGCAUAGUGACCAGCAUGUAUAUAAUAGGACCUAUAUAAAUGCUUGUUAAAGUCAUCUAGAAAACUAUAACUAAAGUAUUUUUACCUGCAAAUACAUUGUUUAUAUCUUAAUUUUCUUUCCGUUGUCUUUUUUUAAUAGAUGGGUUCUCAUGAUGUUGUCCAGGCUGUAGUGCAAUGGCUCUUAAGAGGUGCAAUCACAGUGCACUAUAGCCUCAAACUCCUGGACCCAAGCAUUCCUCCUGCUUUGGAUUCCUGAGUAUUAGGGAUUACAGCCAAGUGCUACUACAUCAGCUUUGUCUCUUAAUUCUCUUUGAAAAAGCAUGUGAGCUAUAACUUGUUCUUUAUUAUUU
Molecule: long non-coding RNA, 1587 nt
Organism: Cercocebus atys (sooty mangabey)
Lineage: Eukaryota; Metazoa; Chordata; Mammalia; Primates; Cercopithecidae
Exons: 2
Source: RefSeq, a predicted model, not a curated record